CUGCAAUGUGUGCACGUGCGUGCACACGUGGCCUAGGGGAUGCCAAAUUCCAGGGUCCAGAAAGAGCUUGGGAUAAAAUGAACAUCCAAGGGGAGGGCUUUGACCUGGGCUGAGUCUGCCUGUGCCGAGUCUGCCUGUGCCAUCCAACUGGAGUCUCAAGUCCUGAGGCAGGACGUCCAGAUGCCCCAGUGCAGGGUCCUCCUGAUCAACACCUGCUCCCCUGUACUCAUUAGCAACCUCACCCACCCUACUCUCAAAGCACACUUGGCUCUCAUAUCCAGGAGCUCUGCAUCUGUAGAUUCAGCAACAGCAGAUGGAAAAUAUUCAGAAAAUAAAUUGGACAGUUAUAUUUCUAUUGAA
RNAcentral lists this long non-coding RNA (360 nucleotides) under Homo sapiens (human). RNAcentral describes it as "HSALNT0390939". The record is from RNAcentral. Lineage: Eukaryota; Metazoa; Chordata; Mammalia; Primates; Hominidae.